Long non-coding RNA from Triticum dicoccoides, 750 nucleotides. RefSeq lists it as uncharacterized. Lineage: Eukaryota; Viridiplantae; Streptophyta; Magnoliopsida; Poales; Poaceae. The transcript is spliced from 2 exons. The record is from RefSeq and is a predicted model, not a curated record.
CCCUUAAGCAAAGCUAUCGUUCACCGCAUCAGGGAUUUAAUAUAUACAAACGGGUAGACAAGUUACUUUAAACUACAAUGCUACGGUGCCAACCUUGUCGUAGUGUUCAGAGAUUAUGCAAACUUUUGCUGCUCUCUGAAUCAUUUGAUUUGCUGACACUCUACUUGAUUCAGGAAUGGUUCCAGGAGAGUUAUCCUCGAUGGCCACAUGGUCGAGGAAAAGAAGAUUGGGGGGGGGGGGGCACAUGGUGGCAAAGCAUUGGUGGACCUCGGGGAAUGGCUACAAAAAGUAGCUCCUCACAUCUCUGUUGAAGCUUUCGUUGGAGUCCUCGUUGCUUUCGCCAUUGUAAUCCUCCUUUGUUCUAUCUAUAUGACAUUGUAUUACUUUAGAAGCGCAUGCAAUUCCCUGUCGUCAGGGGCGAAUGGCGGUAUGCAAUUCGAUUACGGCGUUUUGGCUCGUGCCACACUCAGAUUCUCCGAGGAGAACAUAAUUGGAGAGGGUCAAUAUGCCAAGGUAUACAAGGUCACAUACAAGGGCCAGGAAGUGGCUGUGAAGAAAUUGAAAGGAAAGGCAGACACCGAGGCGUUGAACAACGAGCCCCAAACAUUUAGCAAUAGGAGGCACACAAAUCUAGCCUGACUAUUAGGUUGGUCUGCCAGGAUCAGAUUGAUUGAUAGCAAGAGUUGUUGGAAAAGGAAGAUAGAGGUUGAACUCUUGCUUGUGUUUGAAUGGAUUCCUAAUGGUAACCUA